Molecule: non-coding RNA, 744 nt
Organism: Oryctolagus cuniculus (rabbit)
Lineage: Eukaryota; Metazoa; Chordata; Mammalia; Lagomorpha; Leporidae
Source: the annotation of a RefSeq genome assembly
AUGAAGAAUCUGAACAUCCACAGAAAGAACCUGGAGAAGGGCUGCAAGUGUAUUGCCACUGAGCUGGACCAGAGCACAGGGGCCAUGCCAGGGCUGGGGGGAGAUGGGUUGUCCACCCAUCUGCCCUGUGUCGAGAAAGCAGCCCUGUCUGCUAAGCCUACGCUCGUUACACCCGGCAGAUUCCUGCACCAGCCCUGCCCACCACAGGGCCAGCUCCAGGUGCUGCCCCACGGGUUUUGGUCCGAGUCUCAGUCACCGUGGUAUGUCUUCGGCAGCAGGACCAAGGUCAUUGUCACAGGUCAGCCCGCGGUGACCCCCUCAGUCACUCUGUUCCCGCCCUCCUCUGAGGAACUCAAGGACAACAAGGCUACCCUGGUGUGUCUGAUCAAUGAUUUCUACCCCAGCACUGUGAAGGUGAACUGGAAGGCAGAUGGCAACUCUGUCACCCAGGGCAUGGACACCACCCAGCCCUCCAAACAGAACAACAACAAGUACGCGGCCAGCAGCUUCCUCAGCCUGUCAGCCGAUCAGUGGAAAUCCUACCAGAGUGUCACCUGCCAGGUCACGCACGAGGGCCACACUGUGGAGAAGAGCCUGGCCCCUGCAGAAUGCUCCUAGGGCCCCACCCUCACCCACUCCCAGGGGCCAGGAGCUGCAGAACCUUCCAUUCACUCCCCCCUGUCAUCCCAGCCCUUCCCCUUGCACCCAAUAAACUCUCAAUAAAUAUCCUCACUGUCAAUCAGA